UUUGUCACCAGAAAAAAAAUUCCGGUCAAUUUUUAAACCCUUUUCGCGUUCUGUAUCCUCUUGUAACCGAUAAAUUUUGUUGCCAUGUCAUAAGCUGGUAUCAAAGUAUUGCCCCGUGAAAUAUGCUUUGCCAAACUUUCCACAAUUCUUCAUAGCUGAAUCUCUGAAUAUUUCAACUACAUUACCGACGUACCUAGAAUCGUGGUGACAAGAACUGGUAACAUUUCUUGGUAAUGAAAUCUUUCAGCUACAAAAUCUUCCGUAACGUG
Long non-coding RNA from Rhagoletis zephyria (snowberry fruit fly), 269 nucleotides. RefSeq lists it as uncharacterized. The record is from RefSeq and is a predicted model, not a curated record. Lineage: Eukaryota; Metazoa; Arthropoda; Insecta; Diptera; Tephritidae.